Molecule: ribosomal RNA, 868 nt
Filed under: gamma proteobacterium BAL367
Lineage: Bacteria; Pseudomonadati; Pseudomonadota; Gammaproteobacteria
Description: bacterial SSU rRNA
Rfam family: Bacterial small subunit ribosomal RNA
Source: RNAcentral
AGUAAUGCCUAGGGAUCUGCCCAGUCGAGGGGGAUAACAGUUGGAAACGACUGCUAAUACCGCAUACGCCCUACGGGGGAAAGGAGGGGACCUUCGGGCCUUCCGCGAUUGGAUGAACCUAGGUGGGAUUAGCUAGUUGGUGAGGUAAUGGCUCACCAAGGCGAAGAUCCCUAUCUGUUCUGAGAGGAUGAUCACCCACACUGGGACAGACACACGGCCCACACUCCUACGGGAGGCAGCAGUGGGGAAUAUUGCACAAUGGGGGAAACCCUGAUGCAGCCAUGCCGCGUGUGUGAAGAAGGCCUUCGGGUUGUAAAGCACUUUCAGUAGGGAGGAAAGGUAGCAGCUUAAUACGCUGUUGCUGUGACGUUACCUACAGAAAAAGGACCGGCUAACUCCGUGCCAGCAGCCGCGGUAAUACGGAGGGUCCGAGCGUUAAUCGGAAUUACUGGGCGUAAAGCGUGCGCAGGCGGUUUGUUAAGCGAGAUGUGAAAGCCCCGGGCUCAACCUGGGAAUUGCAUUUCGAACUGGCGAACUAGAGUCUUGUAGAGGGGGGUAGAAUUCCGGGUGUAGCGGUGAAAUGCGUAGAGAUCUGGAAGAAUACCGGUGGCGAAGGCGGCCCCCUGGACAAAGACUGACGCUCACGCACGAAAGCGUGGGGAGCAAACAAGAUUAUAUACCCUGGUAGUCCACGCCGUAAACGAUGUCUACUCAGAGUGUGGUGUCUUGAACACUGGGCUCUCAAGCUAACGCAUUAAGUACACCGCCUGGGAGAGUACCGCCGCAAGGUUAAAACUCAAAUGAAUUGACGGGCGCCCGCACAAGCGGUGGAGCAUGUGUUUAAUUCGAUGCAACGCGAAGAAUCUUA